AAAACAUUUUGAAAUGCUUUAAAACAAAACGUAACAGCUGUGUGAUUUUAUCAUGUAUCCCCUUCUGCUACAAACCUAACUUUGCACCGUUACUUGAAGCAAAUACUUAAAAAGCAGAUGCAGGUCAACAUUCAUGUUGAUUAUUCCGCUUUAUUUUGAAAUUCUGGCUAGGUGAAAGAACAAAAAUAGCCCUACAAUUCUGUGCAGCUCCUCUUUCUGGCUUUCCAGCACUGUCAGCGUUUCCAAGGGAACUUCAUCAGAAUUGGCUUUGGGGAUGGACAGAACCAUUCAGUGCAGCCCAGGUGUAUGGGCGAGGGAUUGUUUGGAAAACCACUGUUUUCCUGAAAACUCCUGUUUUACUGAAAUCCUGAAGUAUUGUUGGAAAAGUGUUUUAACUCAAAAAAAAUUGCUUGACAGUUUCAUUCUCAAUGUUCCACAGCAGUCACCACCUCCUGCAUGGCUCUUUACCGCAGGGAAAAUGAGGGACUUUUGGGGGCAGGUGUGUUUCCAUUACACUAUCAUAAUGCCCCUAAAAAUCCUUAUUGCUCUUGCAGUAUUCUUCUGUGUUGCUGGGCCUGGAGUGAACUACUUGAAGACCUAGCUUCUAAGUACAGCUUCUCUCUAAAAACACUUUAAAAGAGCAACUGAUUUUCUUUUAUUUACCUUAUUUUUGGUUGUGUUUAAUGUUGCUUGAAAUAUAAUAGCAAGAUAUGCCACCAGCUGUUGAUAAACAGAUGUCAUUAAGUCAUAAAUGCAAGGGACAUGCUGGUAACUGCACGGUGCUUAGCGAAAGGAACACACUUUGGCGUAAGAGCAAGAGCUGCACUCUGUUGGUGCAAUGAGCGUGUUUCUAACUUAAGAAUCCAGAAUGUGUGUCUGAAAACUGUCACAGAUUUUGCACAGAUUUGAAGGAAUUUGUUACAGCAGACCUCACUCUGAAUGUUAACUGCCAGUAGCAGCACACUUCAGGCUAUUUAUCAAAUAAAAAGAUCUGCCCAGUAUUUUUAGUUUGAUUAAAUGCAUGCACCCUCCAGUAUUCCAAUCACACCCCUCAAAGCCCCAAAUAAAGAAAUUUCUCGAGUGUUUCUCAUUUUUUCAGCAGGAAAAUCUCAUGGGUUAAGUCGUAUCCUGCAGGUCACAAGGGGAGCUUGCUGGUAUGACCAGAACCCCAAGCCCUCGAUGCUCAGAUAGAUGCUGCAAGAAGAAAACCACUGUCUUUCAAUUCAAUUACUGAAUGAGCUCUGCCGCACAAUAUUGUCCUCACAGACUUGCUCAGAACAUGCUUACGUAUCCAUUCCCACAUGGAAAAGCAUUUCAGAUGUGUGUCCGGGCAGAAAGCAGUAGAAAAGCUAGACGUAUUAAUUCUAAAUGUGCCUAUCACUGCCUCAGUGUUUCUGUUCGACUUGUUGAUCACAAAGUGAUUCCUGGCACCUACUAAUGUGAAUGAAAGAUGCUGGCUUAAGGCCUGUGCAGCCCUGAAAAUGACCAAAAUCACUUAGAAAGUAUUAGAUAACUGAAUUAUUAAUGUUGUGAAUAAAGGGGUUUGAUCAGUAAACUUUUAAUUUCCAAGUAAUGCUCCCAAAGACUCUGCAGCUGUGUUAAAAACGUGUGAGGCUGCACAGAUUCUGUCAUGUUCUGCAGUAUUUAACAUCUGCAGAGGGAUCACUCCCAGAGCUAUAAUUUUUAUCACCUUUAUAUAAAAGAGACUUACUGGAAAAAGACUGGAAUUCUAAUUACUUUUUAGGAGUCCUCUGGGGGACUGCACUUAUGACAGCGCUAUAUAAGAGCAGUGCGAUAGAUUUGAGCAUUAAAGCUGAUAUGAUUUUGCAUUUGCCCUAUGUUAUAUUCUCACAUGACACAUAAACUGUUAAGAAUAUCAGAAAAAAUGUAUUUUUUAACAUAAGCCAUCUUUCAUUCAACUGCUUGGAGAUGCAGCCUGUAGAUUUCAACAGCUGAUUCUUACAACCACGCCUACUUAAAGUCAGUCUUUAGACUGUAGCAAAAUCAAGAUUUCCCCUGAAAUGUGCAUAUUUAAACGUGUUUAUCACGUUACACCGCUGUUGAGAAAAAUAUUUCUUUAGAGCUGGCAGCCCUGAGCGUAAAUUUAAGGAGGGGAAUCAAAAUCAGUUUGUGAUUUAUCCUUAAAGAUUCAAAUUCAAGUACUUGCUUCAAACUGUGUAUCUUAACUGCUUAUAUGAUUUUGAUUAGAAAUAGCAUGUUACAAAAAGCUCAGGACUUGGUACAGCCCCAGAGGAAGGACUGCAGCACCCACCUGCAGACUGCCUGCUGAAACAACAGCGCCUUGCGACCGGCUGCGGACAGCCUGCAGUACAAAGUGCUCUGCCAGUGGUCAUUGUGCUGCAUGGUUGGUUUUUUAAGUAUGAGCAAAGUGAACGUUUCCCUUCGACUCUUCAGGAUUUUGGUCUCUUUCAACUACAGGAGUCGUUAACAAGGACCAAUGGAUUCGUCACACUGAUCUGAAUGCUAGAACAGCAACAAGUAGGCAGUAGUUUUCAAAUAGCACUUCCACAGUAGAAAAUUUAUUAAAUGUUUGUUAUGUGCCAAGAAAUGAGUAAUACGAGAAUACUUUCAUUCUUUUACAGAAUGGAAGAGCGCUACCAGCAUUUUAGGUUUUUAUAGAUGUAUUGUUUUUGUGACCACCAGCAGCCUCAAAAUAGAUAAACAAAAAUAGCAGAAAAAGACACAGAGUUGUUAAGUGGACAGCCUGUAUAAAGCAGAGCAAUCCUCUGGCUUUUGUGUUGAGUCUGACCGUUAUUAUCUCAGUUACAGUAGUGUCUCCACCGUUACCUGUGCUGAUUAUUGCAACGCUACUCAGAAUACAGCAGCAGAUCCAGUUCUGCACUGAACUGUGGCACUAUCGAUUCUGCUUCAGUGGGUGUGGAGGGGACACCCAGCACCCCAGGGCAUGUGGCCACAUCAGCAAUGGACGCAGAGCUUUAGCACAGGAAGCACUGCUGCACCUGCAUCGCAAGAGAGCUGUUCAGAAGAGCUAAGGUACACCAUGUAGGCCUGGCACGUGCCAGGGAGGUGCCGAAGGCCUUCAGUGGGACGAGGCGAGGUGAGCUGCUGCAUGCACUUGGCUGGGCCCAGCGAGGACUGCAGCAGCAGCUCCCUGCAGAACGCCGAUUCCUGCCAUUUGGGGCCGCGGCUCAGGGCAAGUCUGCUCUGGCCUUAACCAUAAUAUCUUCCUACACCAGCUUUAUUCCUAUCUCCUCCUUUGCUGAUCACCCUGUUAACAAACAGAAGCUUCCAAGAACUCAAAAAAAAGAACCAAAAAAACCCACAAGGCAGCUGUUUCAAGGCAUUCCUGCCAGACAGGAGACAGCCGCGGCUGCGAUGUGCUGAUAACACACCUUGUGCCAACAUCCCACUACGGAAUGCACGCGUGAAAAAGCCACACCAAUUAGUAAAUUCAAGCUUCUCCAUUUUCUCCAAAAGCAGGACGCUCAGUGCAGUGCCCUGAAACGCAGAUGCUCAUACAGUGCAGGGGAGAAUGAAUGCAUGCCCUUGCCAGGACUGUGCAAUGCCUGGGCACUGCAGCAAGUGCUCUGCGAACGUGGGGGCUGGAGGGCAGAGCCCAGCAUUACUGCUGUCUGGUGGGCCUGGUUAUGUGGACUUUUUAUCAGAAGCAGCCUGCAAGGAAGCAAGAAAUGGAGAGCCACUGCACUGUGUUUCUGCUGGCCAGUCUCCCUAAGAAAACCUCCUUGGUCAGUGUUAAUUCUGCGCCAUAUGUAACAAUACCUGUAACAGCAAGUUUAUCUUAUUUUAAAAGUUAACUUUUUCCAGUGCAGCAUAAUAAUGGAUAGCAUUAACAUUAGCAUGUAUCCCAAGGAUGAAUUCUCACUUCUUUUUAUUGAUGUCACAGCAAAGAGGAAAGAGUACUUUCCUGUUUCGCCUAUGAAACACUGAACACCACUCCCGUUUUUCACACUAGCACAUCUAAAUGCAGCAGGGGAAUGGGCCUUUGCUCUGCCAUUCUGCAGAAUGCUGACAUACGUGUUUGGCAUUAGGUGUUAGAAAAACUGGAAAGAAGGAAGAAUAAUUUGAAUAUCUUUUGGAACUUUUUUUUUACUUCAAGCUGUAACUAUUCAUUAACAAUCUUUAGCAUUAGAGUUUAGAAAAUGUGCUUAUUCAUGUAGAAAAAGACAUGGGAAUGAAAAACAGAACAGCACCGGAGUCCCAUUAGGCUGCAGACCAUUGCCAGGGUCUUCUUGCAGGAGCUUUCAGUUCUGCUGCUUGUUUUGAGUGGGGCAAAAAGAUAAACAUUUUCUUGUUGCAAACACUGCCAUACGUGACAAGUUGAUAAGCAGUAUCAAGAGUUGUGCCAGAGGUUUAUUAGUUCACUUGAACAGCAUGGAAAUGUGAGGAAAAGUUUUGUGCAGCUGAAAAAUGGAAAACCAUCAGUCAGUGCCCAAAUUGAUCUGCGGAAAAAAGACAUUUUCUGUCCUCAGUAACCAGAGCUUUCACUGCUGUGGACACUUCAUCUGCUGUCCUCAAUGAAUCUGCCUCCUUUGCACAGCCUACACCACCACGGCUGCGGUACGUGUUUUCAGCUGGUGCAGAUACACAUACAGGAAUACAAAUUACAGGAAUAUAAAUACAGGAAUAUAAAUUCUGUACUGAUACUCACAAGCGACUAUGCCACACAUGUGAUAAACAGAACUUCACUGGUGACUUCACUAGAUGAACAAUAAGCAUUUUCUGCUGUUUGUCUUUUCGCUCUGGGGACACUGUGGCCACGUUUCCACGUUUUUGCCUUUUCUACUAAAAUUAGGCACUGUGUAUUUGGACAUGGCACAAAAGUGCUGCGAUGCGUUCUGCUGCACGCCUCCGUCCAGCGCUCCCUAAGAUCUUUCCUGCCUGUUUUUGUUCUUGCACAGCUGAUAGAACAAGGAGAAACACAGAGAUGAUGCACAGUGAUGCAUUAUGCACAGGGCUGCUGGCAGAAAUUUGAGGUGAGCAUAUUAAUUAUGAAUAAUAAAAGCACAAAGAAAAAGCUUCUUCCUGCAUCACGGGAGAACUUUUAACCUUCCAACUAAGGGCAUUUUUGUGUAUCUCACUGAAAAGCUAUUUUACAAAAUGCUUAUUUUUUUUUUCCUUACAAAAGUAAAGAAAUACUAUUUCUGCAAUCCUUUUCCCCACCAAGACAGGCUUUUAAUCACCACUGGCAUUUAUAAUAUGGCAACUCUUAUGGCUCUAGAGAAACAACAAUCCAAAGGAGAAAAGUGUGACAUAUUUUGCCUGGAAAACGUUGUUACACUGACAAAGAAAUAUGAAGAACGUAUAUUAAUAUCCUGUCUCACAAUAUGGGGUAAAAGCAAAAAGAAAACCAGGAGAGAGAGGUGAAAUACAUACUUCUGCAAGAUGGUCAGUAAAUAGAGGCAAAAUAAUUAUUUGCAAGACUUCAAUGAUUCCUACAUGCCUGAAGGAGGACAAGAAUAGGACUUUCUUCAGGAUUUGACAAUUGCUGGGCUCUGUGGAAUGUAGAUACCUUUGCCCAUUUGUAUGAGAACGUGUCCUUUGCCUUGGUUUCCCUCCGAGAGCUCGUAAGUGAAUACAUAGGAAGGCUUUCAGGACUUCCCUCCUCCUGUAUUUGCACACAUACAGGAGAUGCACGUGCAGGAUAUGUAUCAGAAGGAAUAAAAAGGUGUCAGCAACUGACCUUGCUGAGAGCGUCAUAUGAGUAUGGAUGUUUGGUGAAAAUAAACACGCUCCUGUCUGUCUUGAAGGAAAUACAGCAGUGGCUUUUUUUUCCAUUCUCACCGUUCUCAAACACCAAAUACCAUUCAGCUACAAGUGAGGAAUUGUCUGUGUGCAGGUGCUUGGCUUCAUUGAAAACAUACACUUUUCUUGGUGGCUGAGCUGUUCACCAUAUUCACAUCAGCCUACUAGAGGCAGCUCUGUCUCGCUUUUUUUUCACAUGCUUGUAAUGAGAAGAGAUGAGCAGCCUGGCUGCCUACAAAGGUAGCAGUGUUUGUAAAACAACAGAAGAACAGCAGCACUGCAGGGCGCAGGCUGCCAUACACUGCUUCUGCUUUCUUACGACAACAAUCUUGUAACUUCAGCUUUGGGUUGCAGAAACUACGGCUGUCCUGGCAGCAUCCCAUCCUUUUUUCACCAAGGGGGGCAAAAGAAGUG
This is a long non-coding RNA of Centrocercus urophasianus (Greater sage-grouse), 6159 nucleotides long. RefSeq lists it as uncharacterized. Lineage: Eukaryota; Metazoa; Chordata; Aves; Galliformes; Phasianidae. The transcript is spliced from 2 exons. The record is from RefSeq and is a predicted model, not a curated record.